CCCCAAUCCGAAUGGUGUUGGGCGGCCUCUUUUAACGUAUAUGCUAAUGAAGCUUGGUUGUCUGCCUGCCUGUGUCACCAAGCUACCUGCUUGCUUCCGGUCAGCCCAACCUCACGCUGAGACAAGAGACUUCACAGUGGGUUUUCCUUAGGCGAUUCCCCCAAAGCUACUUGUCACCGCUCUUCCAUCCCCCUUUUGCUGCCACCACUCUUUCAUUGUGGCUGAGAACCUCUUUUUUUCCUAUCCAAACACCCCUUAAGGUAUUACGUUUUCGACGCCCCUCAGCCCCUCACUUCUCUUCUAUCUAUUGUAAUUAUAUCUAUUUUGGAACUCAAUUUUAUAUUUUUUUAGGUCUUUAAUCUUGAUCUUUUCGGAUUUACAAAAUCGUACAUUGAAUUUAUUGAUAAUGUUUCUUGAUUGCAUUUUCUACUCUAUGAAUUUGUAGAUGGUAAUGGAAUAACAAUCGUUCUUCUACCUCAUUUGCCCUACUUCAUCUCGGUACGACUGGAGACGGACGUCCAGGACAACUGACGUCGCAGUUGCUUCUCUUUCCCAAUCGUAAUUUAUUUCUGGUCGCAAAGAUUGUAUACGAUAAAAUUGGUUUAUUGCUUUUGUAUCUUCUACACCCCUCCUUGUGUGAACUAUAAUUAUUUAACAAGUUUUAAGCUUAUGAAGAGGAUCAUGCUUGAGUGAGUUGUACACUUAAAAUACAUGCAUACAAGUAAUUACGACUUCAUUAGAAGAUGAAUCAUCGUUCUGCCUUUCUCUUUUGACGACUUCUAUGCUUUGUUUCAACAUCGAUUCGACCUAUCUUGCCAAUUAAAAUAGAAGAUUUAGUGAUCGAACCAGGUAAAGGCCUUGUACCCUAAUUUUAUUCCUUCCUACCACAUUUCUACCACCAUUGAUAUCCCUUCUCUCCCCUCAUUCCCAAUAAAAACGAUCCCUAAACGAAAGCGUUUUCCAAAAAUAGGGCAUAUGUCUCCACUUCACUAACAAUUUUCCACAAAUGAAUGUCUUAUUUUGGUUUAAACAGAUUCUUGAACAGGCUGAGAUUAGAAAAUAGUUAUCAGUAGUUUUAAUUAUAUUAAUUUCCAUCUGUUUUACAGCUAUGUUGCUUUAAAUUAGAGGCAGCUGAUCCAUCCUCUCCCCAGACGGAAGCACUUUUAUGGGUCUCCUUAUUAUCGGAAGACACAGCCCCACCACACGAUGAUGAAGCAACGAAGAUAGUUAAAAAGGUUUAUGCCAAACUUAAAGGUUUUUUUACCUCAAAGAAGAGCGAAAGAUUUGUAAUUGUAACAGGUUCUGGAAAUUGGAUAUGCAUGAACCUGAAACAACUUUCUGGCAAGAUUUGGAAUCUGAAAUGACAGAGUCCUGAUAAGAAAUUUUGCAGAUUAGACCUUUUGGAACAGAUGUGUGCACCAACUCAAACGUACGUUGACCUGUUAAUUUGGGAGGUUCAUUUAGUGCCUUCAAAUUCAAAUCCUACCGAGUUGAUUCUAUAGAGGAACUAAAUUGUAAAUUUUAUAUGGAUUAUAUAAAAUUUUGAAUUUUAGCUUGGGUCCUUUUAGCUUUGGUCUGUAUGUGAUUUUAAAGAUGGCUUGGCUGAUUCGGUUAUCAAAACUCAAAAACUAUGGUCAAAACCAAACCCCGCGGAGUGUAGACAAUAGCAACAUACUUUACUGGUCUUAACCAAACCCUGCGGAGCGGGGUUUCCCAGCUAGUUUUCUUUAUAAAAUAGAUGCUUGUAAAGUUAUUUAAUCAAUUAAACAGU
Lactuca sativa (garden lettuce) is the source of this 1771-nucleotide non-coding RNA. The record is from RefSeq and is a predicted model, not a curated record. Lineage: Eukaryota; Viridiplantae; Streptophyta; Magnoliopsida; Asterales; Asteraceae.